This 384-nucleotide ribosomal RNA is filed under the name uncultured bacterium. Its description in RNAcentral is "bacterial SSU rRNA". It matches the Rfam family "Bacterial small subunit ribosomal RNA", at positions 28 to 417 of the family's 1533-position model. The record is from RNAcentral.
GACGAACGCUGGCGGCGUGCUUAACACAUGCAAGUCGAGCGGAAAGGCCCUUCGGGUACUCGAGCGGCGAACGGGUGAGUAACACGUGAGUAACCUGCCCUUGGCUCUGGGAUAGCUCCGGGAAACCGGAAUUAAUACCGGAUAUGACCUCGGCCGACAUCGGCUGUGGUGGAAAGAUUUAUCGGCCAGGGAUGGGCUCGCGGCCUAUCAGCUAGUUGGUGGGGUAACGGCCUACCAAGGCGACGACGGGUAGCCGGCCUGAGAGGGCGACCGGCCACACUGGGACUGAGACACGGCCCAGACUCCUACGGGAGGCAGCAGUGGGGAAUAUUGCACAAUGGGCGGAAGCCUGAUGCAGCGACGCCGCGUGAGGGAUGACGGCCU